RNAcentral lists this ribosomal RNA (253 nucleotides) under uncultured bacterium. Its description in RNAcentral is "partial 16S ribosomal RNA". It matches the Rfam family "Bacterial small subunit ribosomal RNA", at positions 524 to 776 of the family's 1533-position model. The record is from RNAcentral.
UACGGGGGGAGCAAGCGUUGUUCGGAUUUACUGGGCGUAAAGGGCGCGUAGGCGGCGUGACAAGUCACUUGUGAAAUCUCCGGGCUUAACUCGGAACGGUCAAGUGAUACUGUCGUGCUAGAGUACAGAAGGGGCAACUGGAAUUCUCGGUGUAGCGGUGAAAUGCGUAGAUAUCGAGAGGAACACCUGCGGCGAAGGCGGAGACCUGGGCCAAUACUGACGCUGAGGUGCGAAAGCGUGGGGAGCAAACAGG